GGCAACCACGGGACUCCGUGUGUUCGCUGGCUGAGUAUAGAUCACAAUAGGUGACUGUGAAAAGAAGUGAUUAGAGCUAGAAGGGGGAUGCUAUGGUGCGGAACAAGACUGUAGGCGAACAUUAAAAUGUCAGAGUAAUUCAGGCUGUAAUAUACAACAGUGUCGGCAUCUAAUGUGCGGUCGUGAUAUACGUUCAUGGUAAUGGAUAUGAUCUCGUGCCAUGACCACACACGAGACUACUGGACAGUUCCGUGUACUGGAGGUUACCACGGCAACGCCCGAGAUCAACAGCACAGUAUCGCGAUCACUAUGACGCGCACCUCACACACGCGUCACAGUAGGCAGCCGGAAAUCACUCACGUCGUCUGCACACCGCUGUCUUUCCCGCCGACGGGUCUUCCCAACACAUAAAGUCACCUAUUGUGAUCUAUACUCAGCCAGCGAACACACGGAGUCCCGUGGUUGCCAUGACCACACACGAGACUACUGGACAGUUCCGUGUACUGGAGGUUACCACGGCAACGCCCGAGAUCAACAGCACAGUAUCGCGAUCACUAUGACGCGCACCUCACACACGCGUCACAGUAGGCAGCCGGAAAUCACUCACGUCGUCUGCACACCGCUGUCUUUCCCGCCGACGGGUCUUCCCAACACAUAAAGGCUGCGAUUCAUCAUUGACAUGGAACCACAGGGCACUGGAAACCACGCACAAACAGUCAAAUGGCAUAUGACUUGCUAGGCAAAUAAAUAAAAAAUAAAUAAAAAAGAACUGCUUGUGAACUUUAAAAAAAAAGUCUCCUCCCCACACCAUCAAAUGACUACAUA
Molecule: long non-coding RNA, 825 nt
Organism: Pseudophryne corroboree (corroboree frog)
Lineage: Eukaryota; Metazoa; Chordata; Amphibia; Anura; Myobatrachidae
Exons: 3
Source: RefSeq, a predicted model, not a curated record